This 708-nucleotide ribosomal RNA is filed under the name Acinetobacter sp. RNAcentral describes it as "bacterial SSU rRNA". It matches the Rfam family "Bacterial small subunit ribosomal RNA", at positions 115 to 818 of the family's 1533-position model. Lineage: Bacteria; Pseudomonadati; Pseudomonadota; Gammaproteobacteria; Moraxellales; Moraxellaceae. The record is from RNAcentral.
GCUUAGGAAUCUGCCUAUUAGUGGGGGACAACAUUUCGAAAGGAAUGCUAAUACCGCAUACGUCCUACGGGAGAAAGCAGGGGAUCUUCGGACCUUGCGCUAAUAGAUGAGCCUAAGUCGGAUUAGCUAGUUGGUGGGGUAAAGGCCUACCAAGGCGACGAUCUGUAGCGGGUCUGAGAGGAUGAUCCGCCACACUGGGACUGAGACACGGCCCAGACUCCUACGGGAGGCAGCAGUGGGGAAUAUUGGACAAUGGGCGCAAGCCUGAUCCAGCCAUGCCGCGUGUGUGAAGAAGGCCUUAUGGUUGUAAAGCACUUUAAGCGAGGAGGAGGCUACUGAAGUUAAUACCUUCAGAUAGUGGACGUUACUCGCAGAAUAAGCACCGGCUAACUCUGUGCCAGCAGCCGCGGUAAUACAGAGGGUGCAAGCGUUAAUCGGAUUUACUGGGCGUAAAGCGCGCGUAGGCGGCUAAUUAAGUCAAAUGUGAAAUCCCCGAGCUUAACUUGGGAAUUGCAUUCGAUACUGGUUAGCUAGAGUGUGGGAGAGGAUGGUAGAAUUCCAGGUGUAGCGGUGAAAUGCGUAGAGAUCUGGAGGAAUACCGAUGGCGAAGGCAGCCAUCUGGCCUAACACUGACGCUGAGGUGCGAAAGCAUGGGGAGCAAACAGGAUUAGAUACCCUGGUAGUCCAUGCCGUAAACGAUGUCUACUA